CAGUAGCCACGGGAAUACGAAGGGUGCAAGCGUUACUCGGAAUUACUGGGCGUAAAGCGUGCGUAGGUGGUGGUUUAAGUCCGUUGUGAAAGCCCUGGGCUCAACCUGGGAAUUGCAGUGGAUACUGGGUCACUAGAGUGUGGUAGAGGAUAGUGGAAUUUCCGGUGUAGCAGUGAAAUGCGUAGAGAUCGGAAGGAACAUCUGUGGCGAAGGCGGCCAUCUGGGACAACACUGACGCUGAGGCACGAAAGCGUGGGGAGCAAACAGGAUUAGAUACCCCCGUAGUCCCUGUCUCUUAUAA
This 301-nucleotide ribosomal RNA is filed under the name uncultured bacterium. Its description in RNAcentral is "partial 16S ribosomal RNA". It matches the Rfam family "Bacterial small subunit ribosomal RNA", at positions 509 to 809 of the family's 1533-position model. The record is from RNAcentral.